AGAGUUACCUCAAUCUGUGGCAAUCAGUUUGUCUAUAGAAACCUAUGUGUUUUAUGUGCAGGUAUACUCACUCUCCACUUUCUUCUGAAGUCCCUCUGAAGGGAGAAAUCUCACCACUGCUGCUGCCUUCAUUGUUCUCCAUGGCAACAGGUGGUAAGAAGGAUCUGAAGAAGACAUUUUUAGGCCAGUGGUGAAGCUCACCUCCCAUUGUUCAUCAGAGAGGUGAUGGACUAACGGUAUGCUAUGAGGUAAACAUUUUCAGACAUAGUCAUUGUGUUGAUUAAUUUUACUUGACUACACUUGUU
Molecule: long non-coding RNA, 305 nt
Filed under: Phascolarctos cinereus (koala)
Lineage: Eukaryota; Metazoa; Chordata; Mammalia; Diprotodontia; Phascolarctidae
Description: lncRNA (ENSPCIG00000007510.2)
Source: RNAcentral